This 2991-nucleotide long non-coding RNA is filed under the name Homo sapiens (human). RNAcentral's name for it is "HSALNT0330480". The record is from RNAcentral. Lineage: Eukaryota; Metazoa; Chordata; Mammalia; Primates; Hominidae.
ACAUGGCUAUGAUUGGUUAUAUGAGUUUGUGAAAUUACAAACCUAAUUUCUGGGUGGUGUCAAAGAUGGGAUUACCUGAAACGGAUUCCCACGUUGCUUUGUGAUUUGGUGAUUAUGGUUCUUGACUUCUCUAAGAGAGGAAUAAAAGUGCCACACUCACUAAUGACCAAAUUGGUCAGUUCCACUCAUAUGCCCCCUAUAGCCUCUUUACCAUCUAGCCUUUCCAGAGUUAACCUAUUGUAAAAUUAGAUUGUAAAAAUGGACAGAGUGGCCACCACUCUGGGAUAAGGGUGAAGGACUCAUGGUGUCAUCCCCACUAAAUACUCCAGUGGAAAUUAUCACUUAAUUAUUUGUGAUAUCACCCAGCUCCCCAAAGAGCUGGCCUUCCUUUUCAGCCCCAGUUAUCUUUUGGAAGUGUAACUCUUUCAGUUUGAUUGUCCUGGGAACACAUGCAGUUUUCUCUUGAUGGGGAAACCCCUCUCUGAAGGUCUGCGUUUUAAGUGGCAGAGAUGCAAAAACAGCCUUCUAGACAGAGUUUCUAAUUGAAUUCUCCUCUAUACCGUUAUCCAUAAACUGAGUAAUGCAUCCAAGGAAGAAGAGAGGAUGAGAGAGGUCAGGAAGUUUAGAUUCCAGUAAAAUUUAAAUAGCCACUGAAUUUGCCAUAGCAAAACAUGAGCUAUGAUUCUGUUAGUACACAGGAAAAGUCAAUUAGGUGAACUGAUUUUUUAUGGUGUUGGGAAUAUUAUAAUUCAGGGAUUCUUAACCUAUAGCUUAACCUAUAGGCAAUUUAAGACUAGAUUUCAGGGGUAGGGCAGUGAAACUUCUAAAAUUGCUGUAACAUUUUUUAUUAAGUCAUAGGCAGUUUCCUAGGGAGAGGCUUUUAUCAAAUUCUCAGAAGGGUCCACUGCCAUAAAAGAUUAAGGAACCACUGCAUUCUAUCAUCAUAAUUUUUUGUCUUCUUUCAAAAGUUGAUAUUCUGGUUUUUUUUAUGCAGAAAAGACAAAAGCAUGUACAACUCUGAUAUUUCAUGAUCUUUAAUUUCUUCCCCCUCCUGGAUGUCCUAUAAUAAAUGUACAGGAAAGAAAUAUAAAACGCUAUCCAAACUCAGUUAAUAGCUCUGAGAAAUGCACACUCAGAGUGCUUUAAAAUCAGGUUACAAAUAUCAUUUUCAAUUUGCUGGGGAGAAAAUAGGAAGAGUCCCUUGGAAUACAGAAUAAAUUCAUUCUAUGUACAUUAUCAGUGUUGGUUCAUUAUAUUCUCAUUGGCCCACAACUCAACACAUCUUUAAGAAGCAAAAGUGCAUACACUCUCCCUUACUGACAAUAUUUAGGGGAAGACCACAUACUUUGUGAACUACUGUGAGUUGAGUUCUUGUAGUCAAAGCAGUAGUAGGUGGAGCUUCAUUCUCUGGUAUUAAAAUCCUAAAAGUGAGUAGUGUUAUUAAUUGGGGGCACUUUUGAGAUUUGAUUAAGAAAUUUACUGCUCUUGUGGGUUGUUUCCUCCCUUGUGGGAUGUUCUGGAUGAAUGUCAAGGUCUAGCCCCGGCAGAUUCCAGAAAGCUUGUCCAUCUAAAUUUGCUGUUAAGCCAUGGGAACUUUUCUAUUGCAGUCUUUGGGUCAUGGUAACGUGUAAAGCCUAGAGUUUGUUGAAGGGCACUUUUCUCUCUCUAAAAUUCUCCAUUCCUCACAACUGGUUUUUAUUAUUCCGUGACAUGCUGGGAGUGUUGCUAUGACUGUUUGAGAAGUAUGGGCAGAUAUAUUGCUGGCUGGCUUCUUACAGGAAGAGUUUCCCAUGAUGGGAGUGAGAGACCCCUGGGGCCACCUGGAAACUGCCCACUCUUGUAAGAUGUUGCUCAGCGUUCUUGGGACCCAGGAAUUCACUGCUCCAAAGGCCCUGAGUUCACUUUCAAGGCUUGGUUCUGCAGGGUGUACUCAUGUGUGCACCCUGAGUCUUGAGGAGUAGACAAAGGGCUUUUGUGGAGGAUGAGGAGGGAGAUUGGAUGUGAGCACUGCUGUGUUCAUACGUGUGCUGUGUUCUGAUCCUUGAGAUUUGGAUCAGAGCCAGAGGUGGAAAGAGAAGAGGAUGGGGUGUAGUUGGGGCUGGCCUCCCUAUGCCACUGACUACUUGAGAGGAACAUUGAAGAACUGAAAAUUCUACAAUCGAAGUUGGCUUUCCAGGUUGUUAUAAAGAAGUAUUUGUCAAGACAGGAGGUAUAACAUAUUUCAUUUAAAAGUUUGCUAGCUUGUUUUAUAGCUUUUAAAUAUUUAGACACUUGGACUGGAAUUUGAGAUGUUCCAUCAGUCUGUUUAAUCCUUUAGGUCUGACCAUGAUCUGAGAUGAAGUUUGUUCCUUGGUUUUGCUUUUGCUGGUUUGUGAUCUUGGUUCUCGACUUAGACUUGGAAGGCUGGACAGAGUCAGAGAGAUUGGCAGUGAUAAUCUUUACACGUGCUUUCUCCUUAUGUCAUUUUACAUUUGGAGCAAUCCCUUGAACUCAUAGGAUGAGUAUUGUUAGUUCCAUUUUACAGACAAGAAAAGAAGGCUCAGAGUAGUGAAAUGACUUGCCCUUUGAGUAGUUGAUGUCUAACUCCAAAUAUUUAUUCCACUAUUUUCUCUACUAAUCAUGGUAUUUCUCAUCACCAUUGCUAUGCCUGUGAGUAGAAUUUUUAUCCCUGUUUUCAGAGGGAAAACACUAGGAUUUUAAGAAACUUUUCCCCCUUGAUAAUCCAUCGAUUCAGUAGUUGUGCCAGAUACCAACCAGAGACCUCUUUGUAGGUCACACUCAAUCCCUAACAAGUCUAAAAGAAACAGGGCCAGGCAUGGUGGCUCAUGCCUGUAAUCCUAGCACUUUGGGAGGCUGAGGUGGGUGGAUUGCCUGAGCUCAGGAAUUUGAGACCAGCCUGGGCAACACAGUGAAACCCCAUCUCUACUAAAAUACAAAAAAAUUAGCUGGGUGUAGCAGCGUGCACCUGUAAUCCCGGCUACUUGGAAGGCU